RNAcentral lists this long non-coding RNA (5184 nucleotides) under Homo sapiens (human). RNAcentral's name for it is "HSALNT0314526". Lineage: Eukaryota; Metazoa; Chordata; Mammalia; Primates; Hominidae. The record is from RNAcentral.
GUUCUCUAAUAACUUAUUGUUAAAACAACCAUCCCAGUCCCAUCCAGCCACUGCUGCACCCUGCCACCCCAAAAGCAUCUGACCUGCAGAUGCCUCCCAGAGGAGCCUUUUCCAUCCUGUGCUGGGAAAAAGAACAAUGGCCUCAGGACAGCACAGAUCCUCAAUCCAGGUGGGAGCUCAGCACCCUCCAGCUGGGAAGGCUGUGGUGUCCAAGCUCUCCGGAAGUCCCAAGAGGCUCAGACACCUCCCAGCCUUAUUUUCUCCAUUAAAAACACCAUGUGGGCACCCUGUCUUUUUUAUGAGCUGAAAAGAUUUCACGUCCCAAGACGGAAGAGAGGAGAAAUUGGGGUGCAAAACUUACCUCCACACCAGGAAUAUUGGGACAUUUCUGAAGUUAAAGAAACCCAGCCUCAGUGUGAUGAGGACCGCCCCCCACCAGCCCAGGUGGGCUGUGCAUAAGGAUCAGACAUACUGGGGGAGCAGUGAUCCAACAAGAAAGACCUUUCAAAGGAGAGACACUUCAAAACUCCUUAUCGCCGUCUCCACUAGCCAACGCCAAGUUCUACUUCCAUUUUAUAUCACCGCUUCUCUUUUGUUUUUGUUGUGUUUCUAAAUCUGGAUCAGGAUGGAGACUGGCAGUAUCCCUUGAGAAAAGAGGACCAUGGCUGAAAACACAAAAAAGUGUUCAGAAUGCCCACUUGUGGGCCAAGCACAUGUGAUCUGCUUAGAAGAAUGUCGGCAUAGGCUGUAGGUCUUGAUGGGAGGACAGUAAACAAACAGACAAACUCAGAAUGCUCUCCACACACAGAAAAGGAUUUGGGAAUGGGAACAAUGAAAGUUAUUCUACCAAGUAUUUUAUCCUUCAUCUGAAAUAGAAAGGCUGUCCCACUGGAUGGAAAAGAUGGGGCCCCUUAGGAAACUGUGGCAGCUCUUUGCCAGGGAGCCAGCCACACACCCACUCACGCCCAGGCUGACUCCCUGCGUCACCUGCCAAAGGACAUGGUCAGUCCCCAUCCAUGUCCUGAAGUGCCCCCUGAAGCAGCCAAGGCUAGAUGCUUCUAAGGGACAAGGAGGCCCUGGCAAAAGGGCAACUUGCUACCCAGGAGUGAUCUCUCAAAUUUCCGAGGUCUCCAAACUCCUGAAAUGAGGCAGAUGGUCAAAUCAAAGCUUUCAGAAGAAAAAGAUCUCCACAAUAAAUACAGAAAUAAAGGCCUUCAGGACUUCAUUAGCCCCCUUUUUUUAAAUUCAUUUUUAAGUCACAUCUGAUUUUCAAAGACUAUGCCUUCCUGCUGUACCACCAGGUUCCCUGUCUUCUGGAGUAAAGCAGCAAUUCCCAGGCCUCAAUGGCACACUAGCUCGCAGGUUCUGCUGGCUCUGGACCUGCUGCUCUGCUCCUUUCACAGGCCUGCCUGGUCCCAUCGAUGCAGGGCCUGGAGUCUCUUGCACUGAGUCAAGGGCAGAGGAAGCUGCAACUCAAUGGCACUGCACAUCUGUAAUUCACUGCCUUUGGCUCCCUCCAGCUGUUGUUCCACACCAUCCUCACAACUCUUUAAGGUCUUACAUUCUUACUUUCCCCAUUUUAAAGUCAAGGAAAUUGUGUUAAGUAACCUCUUCUCCCCAAGACUGCACAGCCACUUGUGUGGCUGAGUGCCACACAAUAAAAAUACACCUCAUGCCUCUGAAUGCUGCCUGCCAGGUGGGAAAACAGGUGUAAGGGUUCUGGCUGUGUAGAAGAAGAAAAACGGUGUUGUCAAAGGAAUAGCUGUUCCCCUGGCCAGGUCAUUAUGGUCAGGAAAUCAUACAGCAACUCGGAUGGAGUGUGUCUAGAUUCACAGAGCACAUGAGAGGUUAACCAUAUAUUGAAGUCCUUCGUAGUUUUGUCUUAAGUACUCGAUCUGAUGAGACAAAAACAACUUCAUGUGUUUUGAGCAGUUCAGUGAAUGAUUUUUUCAAGAAAGAAAAUUAAGUUUCCUCUCAAUCUAUGUUAACAAAAUGGCAAAAAAAAACCAAAAACAUGAGGAAGGAAAUUGGGGUCUCCUCUAUGCUAAGCAUAAUGCAAAUAACAGAUCAGAGAUUUUAAAUGCAAUUAUUCCCUCCUCUGUGUUUUAGUGGUUAAAACCUGGCAAUUUGAGGUGGUCACUCACAAACAUGAAUCUCAAACAAUGGAGUUUUUAUCUACCUCCAAAAAAGUAUGGAUCUUGGAAAAAGAAUUUUUUUUUUUACUCUGAUAAGACAGUAAUCUCCUACCUUGCUGACUCAAAUGUACUUGCAUAUUAAUUGCUUCAGACCCCAAAAUCCCUGCUGAACUGGCUAAAUUUUGGGCCAAAUUCAAUAAUCCAGCAACCUCCCAUUCAAUACCUCACCAAGAUAACUUUGCAUGUUUAAUUUAAAAGUACCGAUCGCUUUUAAAUGAAAUGCUAACGCAAGCCCGUCUGCCGGCCCAAGCCACUACUGCAUCUCUGAGGGACAAGCUGCAAGUUGGAGAGCUGACUAAAGUCUGAGCAGCCUUCGGACAACGAGGUGAAGAAAUGAAGGCUCAGAAAAGCUACACGUCCACAGUAAUACAAAAAGCCAGCAGAAGGGCCAAGAUUCCAAUUUCAAUCUUCCUGACUCCAGAGCCCAGGCCUGUUGUGCUGCAGCUUCUCCACUCUCUGGGAAGUUCUUUGAGGCAGUCUGAAACCUCCUCUGCGUUUUCCAGAGGCAACUAUUAAUUAGGCACAAUAAGCAAAGCACCAAAGCUUACAGAGUGUUUGCAAACAUAAAAAAACUUACUGGCUCCAAAAUACAAAAAGAAAACUGCAAAAACUGAAAUUACUCAAAGUUCAAUUAAAUGCCUACUACAAUGCAAGAGAACGCCACCUAGUACACUGGGAUUCAACUCUGAUGUAGGUAUUGUAAACUGUAUUUUCUGUGUGAUGGCAGCACAGUCUAUUUGUGUUAGUCUGCUUUCCAGGCUGCAGCGCAGGCCUUAAACCAGCCCUGGGUUUCACUGGCCUUUUUCACCAAAGGGCAUUCGUACCAGGCCAUGGCAGUCAGAGAGCAGGAUCUGUGGAAACAGAGGGGAGGGCCUCUGAGAGCAGCGGCCAGAGCAAUGUUUCCUCCUCCAGGUGGCAGAAAUAGCUUUUCUAGCCUUGUCAUAGUGCCCAACCCUAAGAGAUCGCCUUGCAGUUGGGUCCCCACCAUUCCUCUCACUUAUCUGUGCGAGAAUGCGGAUAGGGCUGGAAGAGAGCAGGCCAUCCACGUGGCAGGCCAAGCCCCUGAAGCACUCUGCCACUGUACACACAAGGCCACACACAACCCCUCCCUGCUAUCUUCACUUGGGGCACCAUUCUCUCAGCAGUAUUUCCUCCAUUUUCAACUCUUCCCCAGUAUUGGUAAAUAUUGAUAAUUACCUCCAAACGCAAAAGUGAAGAAGUUUGUGUUUUGAAAUAUGAUCAUAAUUCAAACUGGAAGCUGACACUAAUCAUUUGAUGUUCACUUGAAAAGACCAGAUAGGCUGUGCAGGAACAUUUCAGUAGGGGAACCGAUAAGGAGAAGGGAAAUAAAAAUUAUUGGUAUUUACUCAGCCUGCAAUGCUUGUGGAAGGAAACUCUUUUAAAAGGGGAGCACUUCAGAAUGGUUAUUCAAUCUGAAUUUUACAGAUAGCACUGGAAAUAUUUUCUUGCAGAAUGCACUCUAUCUCCACCAUCAUAUCUCUCCGGUGCGCCAUUCACGUCGUUCAUUGCAGGAAUUCUCACUCAAUUUUGCUCCAUUAUGAGCUGACGGUGACCCAGAGUAUACAAGGCAUUCAAGAAUCUGACUGGAAAUUACUACCACAAAACAUCUGUCCCAUUCCCCGCUUGCCAGCCCUGCCUUAGGGAGUGAAGAUGGAAAACAACCCAGAAUCCACACGCAGGAACAACUUUUCAUUCCCCUCACAAACCAGGCUCCUUUGGAAACUGAUGGUUCCAGCAUUUUUUUAGAAACUAUGUUCCCGGAAAAACAUGGCAUGGGCCUCUUUUGAAAGCCUUCAGCUCAAAACCCUUCUUUUCCUACCCAGACCCUUCUAAUAAAAGCCAGGACAGGAGCUUCACGGGGAAGCAAACAUGAAGGCCACCCAGGGUUCUCCCUACUUUGUGUGGUCAGAUUCAAAUUUUGCAUUAAAUGCCACUGAUCAAUUAAAAGACCACAGGGAUGUCACACAUACUAAUACAUUCCACAGCUUAUGUGGCAUCUAUCUUAUAGACAUACUCCCUUUGGAAGAUUUAUGUUGCGAUUACAAAAGAGUAAAAGAAGACAUCUGAUUUCAUACAGGGCUAAGCCUCGGAACCCAGCUUUUCUCCUCGAUUGCUAUCAGAGGAUCGAGGCGGCAGCAUGGCACCUCCCAUCUAGAUUGCAUUUCACUUUGCUGCAGAUGCUCCAAGGGACCAAGCAAUGGACAUGCUCAAUGAAUCAAAUAAAUGAAUAAUCCAGAAAGAACUGGUUUGUCUGCAAUCAAGAAUCAGUGUCUGUGUCUCCAUCCUCAUGUCCAACAGUGCCCCACCACCUCCAUAUGCUUAUAAUUCGUCAGGGGUCAGAGAGAUCAUUGGCACAGUAACUGCUCCCAGCCAGUCACAGUGGUUCACACCUGUAAUCCCAGCACUUUGGGCAGUCAAAGCAGGAGGAUCACUUGAGCCCAGGAGUUUGAGACCAACCUGCGCAACACAGCAAGCGCUUGGCUCUACAAAAAAUAAACAAACAAAACAAUAACUGCUCCCUACUAUGUGCCUGAAGCUUUAUUUAUGGACAUCUUUGAUGCAACCACCCUGUGAGAUAAUCAUCUGCAUUUGAGGUGCACAGACAGGCUCAGAGAGGCCAGGUGGCAUUUCCGCUAGACCCAGGCCACCCCUAUGCAUGGGUUCCUUCGGCCUGACCAUCACUAUGUCCUUAAUGUGCUGGGCCUUGCUACCACUGCUGUUUUCAGUUAAACUCUCUUGGGUGCUAAAGUUAUGGAGGCACCUCAAAUCAGAAGUUCCAGGUUUGAGGAAGAGAGAGCAGAAAGAUAUGAGAUCCCAAUUCUUGCAUAGGCUGGAAUCUGGUGGGACAGGAGUUGUAAACCAAUGCCACUGUCCUUUGUUAUCUGUGGGGGAUUGAUUUGAGGACCCCUGAAGGACCAAAAUCUGAGGAUGCUUAAGGCCCUGAUAUAAAAUGACAGAGUAUUUUCAU